GACGAACGCUGGCGGCGUGCUUAACACAUGCAAGUCGAACGGCAAGGCCCUGCUUUUGUGGGGUGCUCGAGUGGCGAACGGGUGAGUAACACGUGAGUAACCUGCCCUUGACUUUGGGAUAACUUCAGGAAACUGGGGCUAAUACCGGAUAGGAGACCCUGCUGCAUGGUGGGGGUUGGAAAGUUUCGGCGGUUGGGGAUGGACUCGCGGCUUAUCAGCUUGUUGGUGGGGUAGUGGCUUACCAAGGCUUUGACGGGUAGCCGGCCUGAGAGGGUGACCGGCCACAUUGGGACUGAGAUACGGCCCAGACUGCUACGUGAGGCAGCAGUGGGGAAUAUGGCACAAUGGGCGGGAGCCUGAGGCAGCAGCGCCGCGGGCGGGAUGACGGCCUUCGGGUUGUGAACCGCUGUCGCCUGUGACGAAGCGUUAGUGACGGUAAUGGGUAAAGAAGCACCGGCUAACUACGUG
This 468-nucleotide ribosomal RNA is filed under the name uncultured bacterium. RNAcentral's name for it is "partial 16S ribosomal RNA". It matches the Rfam family "Bacterial small subunit ribosomal RNA", at positions 28 to 507 of the family's 1533-position model. The record is from RNAcentral.